RNAcentral lists this long non-coding RNA (447 nucleotides) under Mus musculus (house mouse). RNAcentral describes it as "long non-coding RNA chr18:53477109-53477556". The record is from RNAcentral. Lineage: Eukaryota; Metazoa; Chordata; Mammalia; Rodentia; Muridae.
GGUUAGGAUGGGAACAAACCAACUCACAUCGGUUACUCCUUUUGAUUAGUCAUUAAAAGCUUUGCUUUGCUCAGAGAAGAGUUGUUAAGCAUUUGGUGGGCAUGACCACAGAGAAUUUGUUUGUAAGCGUGCAGCCAAACAUUUUUUUAGGUUAAUAUUUUCCUUGUGUAUAAUCCCAACAGUUCAAAACGCAGCAACAGAACAUUAAACAGCGUUGUAUUCUUCAAAGUGUUUUGACUCCUUAUGUUUUUAUGAGGAUAGUCUUCCCCCCUCUCAGUAAUGAUCUAAGAUUAUUAAUUUUUUCCAGUUUAAAGAGAUUAGCAAGCUAACCAAAUUUAAAAAAAAAAUCUAAAUUAGUCUUUUUUUAAAAAAAUAUUUUAGCCAGUUUCUUUUGGAAUUGGGAUUUUAAUGUGUUUUGAGAAAUAAUAUGUUUAGAUACUUUAAAUC